Molecule: ribosomal RNA, 376 nt
Filed under: uncultured Leptolinea sp.
Lineage: Bacteria; Bacillati; Chloroflexota; Anaerolineae; Anaerolineales; Anaerolineaceae
Description: bacterial SSU rRNA
Rfam family: Bacterial small subunit ribosomal RNA
Source: RNAcentral
GUGGUAGGAAGCCGAAAGGUGACCGACCCUUCGGGAGCUUGCACAGGUGCUGCAUGGCUGUCGUCAGCUCGUGUCGUGAGAUGUUCGGUUAAGUCCGCUAACGAGCGCAACCCUCGCUGUGUGUUAUAUGUGUCACACGGGACUGCCGGUCUUAAGCCGGAGGAAGGUGGGGAUGAUGUCAAGUCAGCAUGGCCUUUAUAUCCUGGGCUACACACACGCUACAAUGGCCAACACAAUAGGUUGCUAAGCCGCGAGGUGGCGCCAAUCCAUAAAGUUGGUCUCAGUUCAGAUUGUAGGCUGCAACCCGCCUGCAUGAAGAUGGAGUUGCUAGUAACCGCAGGUCAGCUAUACUGCGGUGAAUACGUUCCCGGGGCUU